CAAGUCGUACGGUAAGCUUCGGCUUAUAGUGGCGAAAGGGAGAGUAACGCGUGGUUACAUGCCCUCGGGACCGGGAUAGCGGCGGGAAACUGCCGGUAAUACCGGAUAAUAUCUUUGGAUCAAAGGUGUGAUUCCGCCCGAGGAUUGGACCGCGUUCUAUUAGCUUGUUGGCGGGGUAAUGGCCCACCAAGGCGACGAUGGAUACCGGGUGUGAGAGCAUGGCCCGGCUCACUGGGACUGAGACACUGCCCAGACACCUACGGGUGGCUGCAGUCGAGAAUCUUCGGCAAUGGGGGCAACCCUGACCGAGCGACGCCGCGUGCGGGACGAAGGCCUUCGGGUUGUAAACCGCUGUCAGUUGGGAGGAAGUGCCGGGGGGUUCUCCCCUCGGUUUGACCGAUCUUCAGAGGAAGGACGGGCUAAGUUCGUGCCAGCAGCCGCGGUAAGACGAACCGUCCAAACGUUAUUCGGUAUCACUGGGCUUAAAGCGUGCGUAGGCGGCCUGGUAGGUGAGGUGUGAAAGCCCACGGCUCAACCGUGGAAUUGCGCUUCAAACCACCAGGCUGGAGGAUGGCAGGGGUGAUGGGAACUGAUGGUGGAGCGGUGAAAUGCGUUGAUAUCAUCAGGAACACCGGUGGCGAAGGCGCAUCACUGGGCCAUUUCUGACGCUGAGGCACGAAAGCUAGGGUAGCGAACGGGAUUAGAUACCCCGGUAGUCCUAGCUGUAAACGAUGAGCACUGGGUUGAGGGGACCUCCACAUCUUCUCGGCCGUAGCGAAAGCGUUAAGUGCUCCGCCUGGGGAGUAUGGCCGCAAGGCUGAACUCAAAGGAAUUGACGG
This 839-nucleotide ribosomal RNA is filed under the name uncultured bacterium. RNAcentral describes it as "bacterial SSU rRNA". It matches the Rfam family "Bacterial small subunit ribosomal RNA", at positions 58 to 916 of the family's 1533-position model. The record is from RNAcentral.